RNAcentral lists this ribosomal RNA (497 nucleotides) under uncultured bacterium. RNAcentral describes it as "partial 16S ribosomal RNA". It matches the Rfam family "Bacterial small subunit ribosomal RNA", at positions 28 to 507 of the family's 1533-position model. The record is from RNAcentral.
GAUGAACGCUGGCGGCGUACCUAAUACAUGCAAGUCGAGCGAACGGACGAGAAGCUUGCUUCUCUGAUGUUAGCGGCGGACGGGUGAGUAACACGUGGAUAACCUACCUAUAAGACUGGGAUAACUUCGGGAAACCGGAGCUAAUGCCGGAUAAUAUUUUGAACCGCAUGGUUCAAAAGUGAAAGACGGUCUUGCUGUCACUUAUAGAUGGAUCCGCGCUGCAUUAGCUAGUUGGUAAGGUAACGGCUUACCAAGGCAACGAUGCAUAGCCGACCUGAGAGGGUGAUCGGCCACACUGGAACUGAGACACGGUCCAGACUCCUACGGGAGGCAGCAGUAGGGAAUCUUCCGCAAUGGGCGAAAGCCUGACGGAGCAACGCCGCGUGAGUGAUGAAGGUCUUCGGAUCGUAAAACUCUGUUAUUAGGGAAGAACAUAUGUGUAAGUAACUGUGCACAUCUUGACGGUACCUAAUCAGAAAGCCACGGCUAACUACGUG